Molecule: transfer RNA, 65 nt
Filed under: Lamprolepis smaragdina
Lineage: Eukaryota; Metazoa; Chordata; Lepidosauria; Squamata; Scincidae
Description: partial tRNA-Tyr
Source: RNAcentral
UUGAUAAGGGCGGGACUAAUGCCCUCCUGCACAGGGCUACAACCUGCCGCCUACCUCGGCCUACC